Molecule: long non-coding RNA, 1370 nt
Organism: Equus caballus (horse)
Lineage: Eukaryota; Metazoa; Chordata; Mammalia; Perissodactyla; Equidae
Source: Ensembl
GUCUAUGUCCUUAUUAAGAACUAAUUAAUCACAUGUGCACGCAGUUGUCUAAACAACCACGGACCAUCAGCUUUGGAGGCGUUAUUCAUGGGCAUCUGGCUGUAUCUCCUUAUCUUAGAGAGGAAGAAACUGACAUCCAGGAGAGCAAAGGUGACAGGUCCCAGAACACAGCUGGGUAGGGACCCAAAAGAGACUGGAACCCAGCUGAGCCGUUUAACAACUAAAAUCAGAAGAUGGACCUGGCUCCGUGUGUGCCGUGCCUGAGCACGUUAGUAACGAGCCACAGGAGAGAAGCUUGAUUCCAGACAGAAGAUGAUGCCUUCAACAGUUCAGAAGAUAACUUUGCCUCCUUUGCAGAAGUCUGACCCUUGUCCUGAGCAUCCAAUACUAAAAAAUAAAGUGAAGUAUAUGAUUAAAACUUGCGAUUACGUUGGUUCCAGCCAGUGUUGAAAGGAGCUGCAGUGCUGUGUUUGUUCGAUCUGAGAGGGUGAGCAAUCAGAGAUGACCACUGGAUUCUUUCUAGUGCAAACAGAAGUGAAUGCUCAGGGCUAUAAAGCUGAUCUCGGGUCCCUCUGAUUUAACAGAAACACGAUGAAGAUUUCCAGAAAAACGUAGUAAUUUACCUUCUCUGCAAGAGAUAUUCCUUUUACUGGCUUCAAAUUUUGGUGGCCACUGAAAGAACAAAGAAGGAUGAAGUUCUUUCCCAUGACUUUUAUUUAUAUAGGUCUUUACUGCUCGGGAAGUAUUAUCACGUGCUAUCUUGUUUGGAAUAUAAAAGAAAGUGGUGCAUACUGAAGCUAUUAAGAUGAGCUCUUGAUUCUAAAAUGGAAGACUUCAUUUCCCAAGCUUCCUUGCAGUUAUAUUGGACCACGUGACUAAAUUAUGGCCAAUGGGAAUGUGAGCCAAAGUGUUGUGCUACUUCCAGUCUGAGGUAGUUAAGAGUGGGUGUAUAUUCUCCACAGUCUUUCUUGCCUGUGCAGUUGGAAGUGAACGACUCUAAGAUGGUGGAAUUAUAAAAUGGAAGCAGCCUGAGCUGCUGAAUCAUUUGGAGAAAAGAGGACCGCAGAAAGGGCGGAUUUGCUGCUGCGUUAUUUGUUGACGUGGUCACAUAGGAAGUCAACCGCAUUUAAAAUCUGUAAACUCCUGGAUUGCUUCAUCACAGACGCCUCAAGGGAACAAUCAUUCCUCUGAGACCGUAUCAAAGGCAGAGCAAGAGGGAGAGGAAUGAGAACUGCAGAUGCAAAAAGUUAUCAGAAGGCACGGCGAGCUUGAAACCAGAUGGAACCAGAAAUCGUAAUUGCUGUUGAUCUUUUACUACCUGCUUUAGAGUUUACAAAGCAUUUUCCCAUAACUCAUUGCUGUCAAUACAU